ACGGUUCGUUCGACACUCCCUGACCAACCCAAGGAGUAGUUGGGGUCCCGUUUCCCCGUUCGGGGGGACAGGGUGGCAGGUGGUGCAUGGUUGUCGUCAGCUCGUGUCGUGAGAUGUUGGGUUAAGUCCCGCAACGAGCGCAACCCUCGCCUCUAGUUGCCAGCAUUCGGUUGGGCACUCUAUCGAGACCGACGGCGACAAGCCGUAGGAAGGUGGGGAUGAUGUCAAGUCAGCAUGGCCUUUAUAUCCAGGGCUACACACGUCCUACAAUGACCGGUACAAAGGGAAGCAAGACCGCGAGGUGGAGCAAAUCCCAAAAAGCCGGCCUCAGUGCGGAUUGCAGUCUGCAACUCGACUGCAUGAAGUUGGAAUCGCUAGUAAUCGCAGAUCAGCAUGCCGCGGUGAAUACGUUCCCGGGCCUU
This 422-nucleotide ribosomal RNA is filed under the name uncultured Desulfuromonas sp. RNAcentral's name for it is "bacterial SSU rRNA". It matches the Rfam family "Bacterial small subunit ribosomal RNA", at positions 966 to 1382 of the family's 1533-position model. Lineage: Bacteria; Pseudomonadati; Thermodesulfobacteriota; Desulfuromonadia; Desulfuromonadales; Desulfuromonadaceae. The record is from RNAcentral.